Molecule: long non-coding RNA, 3160 nt
Filed under: Malus domestica (apple)
Lineage: Eukaryota; Viridiplantae; Streptophyta; Magnoliopsida; Rosales; Rosaceae
Description: long non-coding RNA (MDOM_LNC007878)
Source: RNAcentral
GGAACACUGAAAAAUCUCUCGUGAUAUACAUGGAAGAUUACCAAGGUUAUUCCAAUUAAGUUUCAACUAGUAAUUAUAUAAACCAUAUAGACUUGAUGGAUGAUAAAUAAAUGGGAUACUUUCAUGCAAUUAAACCCUAAAAGUAGCUUACUUAACCAUUAAUGUUUUCUUGCCAACCAUACAUCAAAGGCAUGUUAGAAUAGGUUCCUUAAUUUUUAGAAUUUUCUCUGUGAUUAUUGUUUUUUAAGGUAAUAAGUAUUUUAUUAAACAAAUAAAACGAAAAACAUCGACAUCAAAAUACAAUUUUAUAAGACUUUUUUUAUUAGCACACCAUAUACUGUUGAAUACAUAUUAAAUGACUUAUACACCUUACUAUGCAAUGCCAAUUUCGACCUUAUUAGGUUAGAAUAAAAAAUAAAAAAAUUGAAUAAACCCAAAUCGCUUUUAACGUAUUAUUUAUCUACUUUUUUUGUCUUCCCAACAAAUGCAAGCAAAAUGAUAAAACUGCCGGAUUAGAACUUGAAUGGGUGUGAAGAAAUUAACGAUAUUGCUUUAUAUAUGUCGUCUCACAGCAUAACCCCAAUUAAAAGAAAUGAUAAUAGUAAUAAAAUGGCUAAACACAAUCUCUGUUCUGCACUCAACACCAAUAAAUAAAUAUGUUUUCUUUUCAUACAUAUGAAAAUGCAAUGAAACUACAUCAACAUUCAACUACGUUUUUGCCAAUCUGGGCAAAGUCCUAGCAAUAUUCACAUUACAAGAGACCUUCUGAUUGUUCUCCUUUCCCUUGUUGCUUUUACCCUCGAAUUUUUGUCAUUAAACCUCAGCGUAUUACCUCGUUUGCCACCUUCAACAGAGUCACAGCAUCCUCAUCUUCCUCCAAUCUUGAUUGUGACUGAGUAUUAUAAGAUGUGAAGAAUGUGGGGUGUAUAGAAAAUAUAAGGUGUAUGUUGAGAAUAGGGGUGGGAGGGUAAUAUGGGAAAGUAAAUAGGAUGUAUUAAGAUAAAUUUUAAUUGAAAAAGUAAAUAUGGGGUGUAUUAAGUAUGUAGGAUUUAUUCAACAAUAUGUGAAGUGUAAAUAUAAUAAACCUUUUAUAAUUAUAAACUCAACAGAAAGACAAUAAAAAAGUCACUUUUAAGUUAAUUUUAUUUACUUUACAUUUCUCAUCCGAGGAAUGAAAAGUAAAUAAAACCAAUUUAGAAAACAAUACUCGUAUAUUCAAAAUGAUAACAUAAACAUCUUAUAAAUUGUCAAAUUAUUUUGCAUAUCAUAUUUAUUUUGCAUCAAAACUAAUGAUUUGAUGUAAACAUUUCACAAACAAUAACAUGCAUGUGCCACACUUAUGCACGUAAUUUCCAUAUAAUUAAGAUUCAAUACUAAAAGAUGAAUGAAGAUCCUCUUCGAAUCCUCUUUGUGAGAAUGCCGGAAAUCCUUUAAUCGUAUUCGUUUAUCGUACAUCAUGCGAUCAAAAAUCAUUGUAAAUUUUUCAUUUCAAAUUGAAUAUUAAUAGCAUUUGACAAAAAUUAGUCGUACGAUAUGCAAUAAACAGACAUGAUUAAAAGAUCUUCGAGAUCUUCAAUAAUACUACUAGCUACUACUACCACAAGAUAAUAUUCCAUGAUGAUCAGAAAGCAGCCUCUUUAUCCUACGCAUAAAACACUUUUGACUGAGUGUCCAAUCUCCAUUAAUAAUGACAUGCAACUUUCACCAUUUUUAAUAUUAAGGUUUCCAUUUUUCAUUUUCAUGUUUUUCACUCGCCAAACCGGUCGGUUCUCUCCUUUCAGUCUGUUACAAUUUGUUCAUCUUUUUGUGUCGAUAAAUCCGCACAAUUAGGGCAACAGAAGCAAUCAAGUUUUGAGUUCGUUUGAUGUUUGGAUGCGUUACGUUUGAGAAUUGAACUAAGAGAGAGAUUCAUCAGCAUGCGUUACUUGUGAAGGCAAAGCAUGCAGAUGAUGUGAAGUUGUGAAUGACAAUGAAUGAUGUAUUGGAUUACUUAUGUUGUAAGCCAUUUGUUUAUGAGUUGUUAACGACAAAAGUAAUCUGAUAGUCCUAGUGAAUAGGGGUGGGCACUUAAAACCGAAACACGAACCAAAUCGAACCGCACCGAACGGUUUGGUUUUGUGGUUUUGGAACGGUUUUGAUUUUGAAACCGAACCGCAACAUAGAAAACGGUUUGAUUUCGGUUUUGGCUUUUGAAAACCGCACCGAAACUGAAUCACAUCGCAAAUAUUAAUAAACAUUUAAUUAAAUGUCCAUAUUAAAUUUCAUGUUUUAAUUUGUUGUUUGUUAGAAUCCAUGCACUUAGUAUGGACACAACCACACUAGAAUAUCAUCAUUCAUCACUUUCUUUCGUUCAUUAACUUGAAGGACCUUUGUUAUUUUAUACCAUCACACACACACACACAUAUAUGUACAAGGGUGGACUAAUCUUGUUAUCAAGAGUCGAACAAUGAUCUAAUGAAGUGCACUCAUUUGAAGCAUGAUAUCACAUAUUCUAGUAUGAAAGUUUCGCUCAUGUUUAAUGAAUUCAAAGUUAUUCAACUUGUUUUAUGUUAUACCUUGUACGAGACACCUUUUAGUUGCACAAACAUAUUUUAACAUAACAACUGCAUGCAACAUGCUAAUUGUUUAUAUAACAAAUGUCUUUUUCUUAUUACUACUGGGAAAUGCUUAUUAAUAUGUUAAAUUGCAAAUUGUACAUUUUUUCUUAAAAACCAAACCUAAACCGUUUGAAACAGCACCGAACCGAACCAAACGGUUUGGUUUCAUUUCGGUUUUGGCUUCAAAACCGCACAGAAUCAAACCGCAAAAAAAUUUGGUUUCGGUUUUGGUUUCACUACAAAUAUAUAGAAUCAUGGUAGGACUCAAUCACUUAAGUAAUAAAAUGGCUAAACACAAUCUCUGUUCUGCAAUUCAACACCAAUAAAUAAAUAUGUUUUCUUUUAAUACAUCUAAAAAUGCAAUGAAACUACAUCAACAUUCAGCUACGUUUUUGCCAAUCUGGGCAAAGUCCUAUUACCAUUCACAUUACAAGAGACCUUCUGAUUGUUCUCCUUCCCUUGCUGCUUUUACCCUCGAUUUUUUGUCAUUAAACCUCAGCGUAUUACCUCGUUUGCCACCUUCAACAGAGUCACAGCAACCUCAUCUUCAUCCAAUCUUGAUU